CUUUCUAUUCUCGUGGUUCUGAACUACGAUUGCUCUGAUUUUCUCAUGGCACAAUGAGAAUACGUAGGCACGAGGAUGUGAAUCCUUGGCGAGCAUACUUCUAAUUAUUCCUCCUUCGCCUUAGGGCAUCACUCAUAUCUUUCACUAUCCAUCAUCUACCUUCGAUCAUAAAUCGUUCACCCAGUGACAUACUGUCUCUUUGAUAUCAAAAUACACUUUCUUUGGAAUUCCAUAUACACAUCCUUUUAGGACACCUAAUGUAGUCCGCCUUUCUACCUAGAGUUGUUUGGGCUACAACCUCAAACACUUAAUUCCUUCUUUUUUGGCUAAACACCCUAUAGUGGUGGCCCACUAGUCCACGUAUUGGUUAAAGUUGUUUCCCUCUAUGGUAUGAAUUUCACUUAUUUUAUGGAUUCCAAUACACUUUCACCUUUUGAUUUCAAACAAUACUUCUCCAGUCACUUAUCACCAAAUAUUCAGUUUUUGUGACUUCGGUCACUUCAUUCCGUUCAUCUCCAUGAUACACUCAUAUUCUACCUUCACUUACUCCAGGUGAUAUACCAGUUAUCUUUGAGCCAAAUAUACUACCCCUUUGUGCUCCUCCUUGCAUCACCUUGUGAACCAAGAUAUGUUUGGGACCGCGCCCAAAAACCUAUUUCUUCGUCUUUUUGGCUUUACCUUAUAGUGGCGGCCUGCUAGUCCAUGUACUGGUAAUAGCCACCUUAGUCUUGGGUUCAUAUUUCACCCUUGUUGGAGCUCAAAACACUGUUCUUUGGUUCAAACCAUUUUUCUAUCACACUUUUUUCCACCUCAUGCCUCUAGUUCCUUGAACUACGAAGCUCUAAAUUCCUUAUUGCACUAUGAGGAUACAUAAGCAUGAGGGCCCUAAUCCUCACCGAACACUUUAUAUGUUUCCUUUCCUUUCCCGUCCUUUUGCGAGUAACUCUUAGAUCUAACACCUAUUCGACCGAGAACAAUCAAAACGGUUCCCAUGGAGUACCAUGGAUGUUUGGGAUGCUAAUACAUUCCCCUUGUAUAACCGACUUCCUUACCCAACAUAUCUUUUUCCCCCGGGUUUUAUCGAUGUUUUCCCUUCCCUUUGGGGAUAAAUAAAGUUCGAUGGAGACUCUGUUGUAUGUUCGAGCGUGCGAUACGUUCGGGUAUAUUUCCGCUAGCUUCACACAUGUUCUUUUAUUUUAGACUUAUUGAAUAUAUUAAUUCAAACUUCAUUUAUAAAAUGCUACUAACAAUAACACAUAUAUUCUUAAGUUUUAGAUUAUUUGUUUUCCCUUAAACUUGUGAAUAAUUUGAUUAUUUAUUUAUCAUAUUCACACUAAAUUGACUAAUUUAAAUAAAUGAAUAAAACAUGGGAUUUACUUAUUCAAUAAAAAUGAGAUUUGCAAUUCUCACAAAAUUAAUUAUUUUAAGUGAUUAAAAUGUAUGAUUCUGACUUAUUAAUUAAAUUAAAUUAUGUUCUUCUACUUAAUAAAAUAAAGGGUGUUUCAAUUUACUAAAUUAACCAUUUGUAAAAUAAUUCUAAUAAUUCUAAUUUCAAGUACAAAUAAAUCAUUUUGAGAAAAAGAUACAUAUUUUUAAUCUAAUUAAAUUAAUUUAUCAUAAUAUAGUAACUCAUCAAAUCAAAUAAUGUAUUAUGUUAGAAAUAAAUAUUGUAUCACCACCACUCUGAAUAAAAUAAUAAAAUACAUAUAGUGAAUAGGUUUGAAUUUAAAUAAAAGUCAAUUAUUGUAGAAUUCACAAUUUUCAUCUCAUGAAUAAAAUAAAUUAAAUCAACGUAUACUAAUUUAAUAAAAUUGGUGUUUUAAUAAUUUAUUUAAAUUUAUUACACAUAAAAUAACUCAUUUAAUAAAUAACAAAUCAUAAAGGUUAUUGAGACAAAUAUUUAUAAUAUAAAUAUUUAAAAUUUUGGGGUGUUACAGAAUGCAAAUAAUUAUGCAACAUCCAUAGAUUCAAAGCAUUAAUGGCAUAAUAACUCAAGUUCAAAACUCUGGCAUAUAUAUACAACAAUGCAAUAAUGAUAUGCAAUAAUGUAUGUUAACAACAUAAAAUAAUCCGGAUAAUCUGUGUAUAUUGCUUAAUGCAGGAUCAAAGGUUUGACGUCCAUGAGAAUAAGGUAUGUAGAGUUUAUGAUUUCCUGGGAAAAAACCAUAUCCCCCUCAUAGGUAGGUUCUAGUCUUCAGAAGGUAGUCCUUAUAAGGUCUUCGAGAGUCAUCGACUUGAAAUGAAAAUACCCUGCCAUAGUGAAUUCUCAUAGGACAAAAUUACUUCCAAGUGAAUCUAGUCUGGGUGUGGCUGUCGUGACAACCCAACGCGUGAAACGCGGGUGUACAUGACUAUCCACGUAUAUAUCCUGUGUAUGUACUCAGCUCGGGUAUAAAGCUUCACUCAUGUAGUAUAACCCCUACCUAAUAGAGAGUAUAACAUAUAACAUCAUGUAUAAACAAUAUUUAAAGAAAUAAAGAAUGCGAUAAAUAAAGCGAGUAGAGUAAUAAAGGUAAACACCCAAGCAAAAGGAGAAGCAAUCAAAACCAGGCUCGACUCCUUUUAACGAUUAGGAAGUACUCCAAGCAGCGAAGUAGUCCCCAUUAGAGUUGCUAGAUGAAGCUGAGGAUACUCAAGAAGAGAGCCUGAACUACAAGCAAACUCCCCAGCAGAGUCACCAAUCGAAGCUAGCGGAAAUAUACACAAGUGCAUCGCACGCUCAAACAUACAACAUAGUCACCAUCGAACUUUAUUUAUUCCUGGAGGAAAGGGAAAACAUCGAUAAAACCCGGGGAAAGAGAUAUGUUGGGUAAGGAAGUCAGUUAUGCAAGGGAAAGGUAUUAGCACCCCUAAUAUCCAUGGUACUCCAUGGGAACCGUUUUGAUUGUUAUUUCUCGAAUGAGUGUUAUAUCUAAAAAAUUCUCGCGAAAGAAUAAAGGAAAAGGAAAGAAAUAGAUAAAAUGCUCGGUGAGGAUUAUGACCCUCAUUCUUACGUAUCCUCAUAGUGCACUGAGGAAUUCAAAGCUCCGUAGUUCAUAGAACUAAUGACAGGAGAUAAAAAGAAGAAUGAUAACAAGUAUGGUCUGAACCAAAAGGUAAUAUUGUUUGAACUCCCAAAGGGGUGAAAUAUGAACCCAAGAGUAAAACUGGCAUUGACCAAUAUGUGGACUAGCUGACAGUAUCUGCGACUAUAUGGUAUAACCGAAAACAAUGAGAAUUAAAUGUUUGGGUACGAGCCAAAUAACUCUUGGUUCACAAAGAGAUACAAGAUGGAACUCAAAGGAUAUUUUAUUUGGCUAAAAGAUAAGGUAUAUCACAUGAAGCGAAUGAAGGUAGAAUAUGAAUGCAUCAUGGAGAUGAAUGAAAUGAAUGACCAUAGUCACAAAACUGAAUAUUUGGUAGCAAGUGACUGAAGAGGUAUAAUUUGAAACCAAAGGUAAAGGUAUACAUUGGAAUCCAUAUGAGAAACAGAAUUUGUACCCUAGAGGGAAACAAUGUCUUAUCCAAAAAGAAGGAAUUAUAGGUAUAAGUACGAGCCAAAUAACUCUAGGUACAAAUGUGGAUUGCCACUAUAUGGUCAUAAAAAUGUGUAUAUGGAAUUCCAAAGAAAACUGUAUUUCGGUUUCAAAGAAAUGAUAUGUCACUAGGUGAAAGGUACAGUGAUUGAAGGUAGAUAAUGGAUCAUGAAAGAUAUGAAUGGUGCCAUAAGGCGGGAGGAAUAAAUAAGCAUGCUCGCAGAGGAUUUGAAUCCUCAUGCCUACGUAUUCUCACUGUGCAAUGAGAAAGUCAGAGCAAUCGUAGUUCGUGGAACCACGAGAACAAAUGGAAAUUGAAAGUGAUGAAAAGAAUAACUUUCACCAACAUAAUGGUAUCAAGGGAACCCACAAAUGGUGAGUUAACUUUAAACCAAAGAGUAAAAUGGCGUCUUAGCCUAAAAGAAUGAAUUAAAUGCCUGGGUCUGAUCCAAAUAACUCUUGGUUCACAAGGUGGACUGUCAUUAUAUCAUCCUAAAAGGAUGUUCAUGGAGUCCAAAGAGAAGUAUAUUUUAUCUAAAAAAUAUGGUAUUGAUUGACGAAUGAAGAAUGAAGUGUUAAUAAAUAAGGUAGCUCAUUGAGACUCUGAAUUCUCCUACCUACGUAUUCUCACAGUGUAAUGAGAAAGUCAUAGCUUUCGUAGUUCAGCCUACUGCGGCUGAAAGAAAAGGAAAACUGAUUGACUUGCUAGGUUACACAACCCUUCAAGACUAAAAAAUGAGUUCCAAGGUUCACAACCUUCUAGGAAAGGUAUCAGUACCAGAGUCUAUAACUGAUGAUGUCGAGGAAUUGAACAGCCAAGGUUUAUCACCUUACAGGGCAAAGAGAAACAGAUGUUAUAGUCCAUGACUCUCAGGGAAAAGAGCUGAAUUGAAUAACCAAGAUUUACUGCCUCUCAAGGCAAGGAACCGAAUUGGACUGCCAAGGUUUAUCACCUUACAUGGUAAAGAGAAAUAGAUGCCAGAGUCCAUGACUCUUAGGGAAAAGGCUUGAACUGAAUAGCCAAGGUUUAACACCUCUCAAGGCAAGAAAUUGAAUUUCCAAGGUUUAACACUUCUCAAGGCAAGGAACAAGUGCCAAGGUUUAUCACCUUACAAGGGAAAAAAUAAGAGCCAAGGUUAUUCACCUUUCAAGGAAAAGAAUUGAAUGAAAGAGAGUGUACAACCACAAAUUGCUAAUAGCAAAGGUGUCCCAUUAUUGAAGUGUUUGAAUGAUUGAUGCUUGCUUGAAGAAUAAGACUUAUCAAUUGUGUGAUUCAAAUUGCACUAAAGUAUAUGAAAAAAGGCGAAUAGCUUGAGCAAUUGGGUCAUGUGUCCCGUACCCAAGGAUAUCCUAGACAAGGAUAGGAGUUCUCCACUCUCAUCAUUCUUUGUUUCUUAAGCCUCAUAGCGCGCAACUCAAAUCAAAAUUGACAAGUUGCUGAUAGGAGAUCAUGUGUGUUGAUCCUAUUAAUGUAAUGUUACUCGUCGUAGAAGAAGACUUGACAAUCACAUAAUUCAAAUUAUGCUAAAGUCUAUGAAUAAAGGUGAAUACAAUGAUCAACUGGGUCAAGCAUCUCGUACCCAAAGAUAUUCAUAAUGAGUUAAUGUAACUCUCCAUGCUCAUCCAUUCUCUAUUGCUUAAGGCUCGUGCCACACACUUUGAAUUAUGAUCAUCAAGUAAUGAUACUUUUGCAGUGCUUUAGAAGUAAUCCACUUUGCUAGCUAUGCUUGACUGAUGUUGACUUGACGUCUUGAUCUUGCCUUUGAACCUUGAGGUCUUGAGCUCCUGAGAUUCAGCAUAUCCGCAAUAGCUUGAGCGUAAUGAACUUGCCAUAUCAAGUGAUCAAGGGUCUUUUGAUCACUUGAAUGGGCUUGGGGCUUACAACACAAUUACAAAGGAUUUGAUCGUCCAAAGUGUCAUUUGGUCAACACUAAUCGAUGGGAUUGAAAUAAUAGUUGAGCUAUGCACAAUAAUAAAUCCUAAAUAAAUCAGACAAUUCUGGUUAAAUCCCUAAACUAGGGGAGCAUGUAUUAAAAAUCAAAAUUUUAUGUCCUAAGGGCAAAAUGGUCAUUUCACAAAAUGAAAUUAAAUCAAACUAUGUAAAACCAAUUAGUCAAUUAAAAACCAUUCAUGAAUAUGUGAUGAGAAUGGAAUUAGGCUAAGUUUAAUUUCACAAAAAACUAAAAUCUCUAAAGACAACAAUUAAUUGAUUAAUUACAAUUAUUUCUACAAAUCAUAAUAAUCUAAUUAACCUCACAAAUAGCCGAUUACAAUUAAUCAUAGAAAUUUUAAUGCUUACAAAUAAUCAUCUUAAUCACCAUUAGCAUAAAAAACUGAACUCAAAUCCUAAAUUAAUUAGAAUUGGUUAAGCUAAUUAAAAAAAUUAAUUAAGGUUAAGUUAACGAGCAUAACACCAAGGGUCUGGGUCUGAAAACCAGGUGCAAUAAGAGAUUAUUGGGCCUAAAGCCCAAAAUUCGCUACCAAAUAAAAAGGGAUGGCACACUUGUGCAGGGUGCAAAUAGCAAUAUUUGGGCUUGAAGCCCAUAAUCACCAUCCAAGCCAAAAUGUGGUGCGGAAAAUUUUACCUUGUACCCCUACAAUUAAUCCUAUACCCCUACAAAAAUUUAAAAAUUCCCAUUUUACCCUUAAUUGGUUUUAACCAAUUUACCAUUUCAUUUUUACCAUUCAGUUGAAAAUUACAACCAAUUACACUUUCACACCCUCGCACCGGAACACCGAAAAAGACUUCCGGUAUGUAUUUUUCCAAACCGGAAGACUUUUGGGAAGACUUCCGGAACACAAAAAAAGCAAAACCGGAACAUUUAAGGAAAGAGUUCGGUUCACAUAAAAAAUUUCAAAAAAAUUUGCAUACCGGAACUCUUUGGGAAGUGUUCCGUUUGCUUUUUUUUUGUGUACCAGAAUCUUUCUUUAAGUCUUCCGGUACGUGUUUUUUUUUUUACAGAAAUGGAAAAUCUUCCCAAAAUAUGUAGAUACUACUGAUGCGUUUAUGACGACGGAAAGAUUUGGUACACGAGAAGAGGUUUACAGAUGGAUUAAAGAGGUUGAAUCGACAAUAAAGUAACUGUUAUUAUCAGUCGUUCAGAUACUGAAACGGGGAAGAGAGGAGAAGUAACAAAAUAAUAUUUGGCUGUGAUAAAGGUGGGAAACACAGAUUAGUGAUAGUGGUACCCAAAGUGCGUCCAGAAAUGUGGAUGUCCAUUUAAAAUCAGGUCGACUCCGGCGAAAGAUGGAUUCUGGUUGGAAGAUUGAUGUAAAAUGUGGGUUACAUAAUCAUGGUUUACCUGAUAGAUUAGAAGGUCAUUCGUUUAUUGUAGGUUGACCACGAUAUGAGAAGCAACAUGUCGCUGAUUUGGCAAAGAGACAUGUAGCACCUAGAAACAUUUUGCUUUCCUUGCAAGACAAGUUUCCUGAGAAUGUCACUCGUAUUACGCAAGUAUACAAGCUAAAGUGGUGAUAGAAAAAGAGAUAAGAGGUCCAAGAGAGUGAGAUACAACAUCUGUUUAAGCUUAUUGAGGAUGCAGGAUAUGUGAUUGGAGUAGGAAAAAGGAUGACUCGGAAGUGGUGAGAGAGAUAUUUUGGGCAUCCUGAUUCAGUGAAGUUGUUGAAUAUAUUUCCGAUUGUGUUAGUUAUGGAUAGCACCUACAAGACAACAAAUAUAGACAACCUUUGUUUGAAAUUGUUGGCAUGACAUCGACUGGUUGACUUUUGCUGUUGGAUUUGCAUAUAUGGAGUCUGAGCAAACAGAGAAUUUUUGCUGGGUAUUGGAGAAAUUAAAGAGUUGUUUGUGAAGAAAGACAUGUGUCCACAAGUGAUUUUGACAGAUAGAGAUCUUGCUUUGAUGAAAGCAAUUGAAGUUGUGUUUCCCAACUCGAUUAAUUGCUAUGUAGAUUCACAUAACAAAAACGUUGGUGCCAAAUGCAAACAACAUGUGGUGAAUGACCUGCAAAAGACGAUAGACACAUUAUGGAUGGAAGUUGUCUGGGCUAGUGAUGAGGUGAGUAUGGUCAGCGGUUGCAUCAACUUGAGCAAGCAUGUGUUGAUAGAGUGGAUUUAUUAAUUAUGUGAAAGACAAUGGUGACUCCACAUAGGCAUAGAUUUGUUGGAGCAUGGAUUAUCGAGUCCUACAUUUGGGUAACACAACGACUAAUCGUACGUCUUAUAAUUUUAUAUUUGAUAUUUUUUUUAUGUUUUUGAUGUGUUAUUUUCAAUAUUUGAUAUUUUUAAUACUUGAUAUUUUCAAUAUCUAAUGGUAUUUUUUAUAUCUGAUAUUUUUUAGGGUUGAAUCUGCUCAUUGGAGUUAAAGCAGAUUUAGGAAACAGUAUAGGUGACAUGGUCAAAUGUUGGGAAGCCAUGAAUAACAACUUGAGGUUACAACUGGGAAACAUUAGAGCUUCAUUUCAAAAGAGUUUUUACGAAGUAGAACGCGCACGUAAGUCCCUUUUAUGGUUAUUUGCGUGGUUCCGUAUCUCGAGCUGCUUUGAGACGUAUUGCUGAAGAGUUAUGAGAGUUGUUAUGUUGGAACUAACAGGCAAAUAUGUGGUUGUACUCUUAGAACAUCUAUGGGUUACCUUGUGCUUGUGAGUUAGGAAGAUACAGAGUAGGUGGUAUACCGAUACCGAUACCCAUUGCCACGGUCACAUUAGAUUGGAAGAAAUUUCGUUCUCAUAUAGCAACUACUUGGAUGCUAGGAUUUGCAGGACGUAUGCAACAUUGGCAUUACUUACACCUGUAUUAGCAUGAUAUGUAAUCAAAACAUAAAUAUGUAAUCAAAACAUGAAAUCUAUAUUAUUAUGUCUAUAUAUCAAAGCUUAAUACAUAUAAUCAAUGUGAACGAGAAAUAUGCAAAGCUUCAAAUAAAUCAGAAAACUGUGGAUCUUCCUCUUCAACAUUCCUGUCUCAGAUAGCGACGAAUCAAUGUAGAUACACGAGCCCAAUCAGGAUCAGAUGGCCCGCGUCACAUACAGGAACGGGUACCUCUCUAGGAGCGUCACGAUGGGGAGGGACCAACCGUGGAUGGGAAACACGAUAAUACACUCCAGAAUAACCGUCUACUACCUCAGAUGGAGUGGUGGCCACGGAAGAUGAACCGAUCACAUCGACAACACUCUGAUGGUAACUGAUCCAAUCAACAUCAAUAUCCGCGCCAUCAUACAAUCCAGAGGUGGGGAUGGAACAUACUGCCUAUACCCGAACUGACGUAAACAUCUAUCAGGCAAGUAUGGAACACACUGUUUCACCCCACUUCACCAGCCCUGUAAAGACAUAUCUCAUCAAAUACACGCCAUGCUCUAUGACCUCAAAUGGUCGCCAGAUGACGUCGGUAGUUGUCAGCUCGUCCAAUGCAGAGACAAGAUUUGUGUCUAUCUUGUUCAGACUCGUUCUCUGCAGUGAAGCUAAACCGGAUCUAGAUACCCAACUCUCCAUCUGUGGUGGAAGAGCCAAUGGAACCCUAGAAUUCAACUUCAGUCCAUGUCCGGCAACCUUCACUCUUCUUUGGUCCUCUUUCCUAAAAACAAUUAAACACAUAUUAGAAAACAAAUUAAAAAUAUUCAACUAUUAUUCAUUUUCAAUAUAGUCCGUUUACUUACCUCACCGAACCAUAUAUGUCGAGCAACAUGAUGCUCGUACUUCACCAAAAGCGAUGUAUCGUACGCCCUCCUGGAUAUCCAGUCGGCUCAGCUGCAGCUGCAGAUGAAGAUGCACCCCGUCUAACGUGCGGACUGGAAUCCGGCCAUCUGCACCUCUUCUUCGAACCACUGCAAAAUAAUUUAAAAAAAAUAAUUAAAAUUAAAUAAAAAAAUAAAAUAAAAAUUACGUACCGGAACACUUCAAAGAAGAGUUCCGGUACACAUCAUCCAAACGGAAGACUUGAGAAAGUGUUCCGGUAUACAAGUAUACACACCGGAAAGACUUUCUCUAGAAGACUUCCGGUUCAGUGUCCAUAAAAACAACAAACCGGAACACUUUAGAGAAGUGUUCCGGUAUACACUUUUCAAACGCGGAAGACUUACUCUUAAGUGUCCGGUAUACAAUGCAAACGCCAAAAAAAUUUCUUCUCCGGAAGUCUUCAACGAAAAUGGUAAAAAAAUUUUGAAACGGAAAAUAUACCCUAUUUAUAUGAGGGUAUUUUGGUCAAAAAAAUUUAAAUGUAGGGGUAUGGGUACAAUUGUAGGGGUAUAGGGUAAAAUUUUCUGUGGUGCGAUAUGGAGCAGACGGUACAUUGAGUAAAAUAAAUGGGCCCAAGGGAUUCCAAGGCCCAAGCCAUGUAUGAUUUCCAUGGAUCCGCUCAAAACAGGGACAAUGCGCUCGGAGAAAAAUGUUCUUCAUUUGCUUCUCCUGAGAAACAACCCCUCCGUCGCGCUGGAAUUCGCCACCGGCGGCGGCGGAUGACCUAACCCCCUAAAUGUUACAUCAAAACACUCAUACUUUCUCACUCUAUCUCGAUCUCACACCGUUUCCAUUUGAUUCCUUUCCCUAAGCCCGAAUCGAAGAAAAACCCCAAAUAAACCCUAAAUUUCCAGAUCAAAAGAAAUCAUAAGAUAUCGCGAGGGAAUCGAAACCUACGAGGGUAUGGCUUUAAAUCCUGAAGCUCAAAACUAAACUGUGGUGGCGAUUCAGGAUCCAAUCAAAAGAAGAAGCGGAGGAUUAUUU
This 10187-nucleotide long non-coding RNA is filed under the name Lathyrus oleraceus (garden pea). RNAcentral's name for it is "Pisum sativum (pea) long non-coding RNA (PSAT_LNC020892)". Lineage: Eukaryota; Viridiplantae; Streptophyta; Magnoliopsida; Fabales; Fabaceae. The record is from RNAcentral.